AGAGUUUGAUCAUGGCUCAGAACGAACGCUGGCGGCGCGCCUAAUACAUGCAAGUCGAGCGAGAAGACGUAGCAAUACGUUUGUAAAGCGGCGAACGGGUGAGGAAUACAUGGGUAACCUGCCCUCGAGUGGGGAAUAACUAGCCGAAAGGUUAGCUAAUACCGCAUACGACUCCUGGUCUGCGGAUCGGGAGGGAAAGCGAUACCGUGGGUAUCGCGCUCUUGGAUGGGCUCAUGUCCUAUCAGCUUGUUGGUGAGGUAACGGCUCACCAAGGCUUCGACGGGUAGCUGGUCUGAGAGGACGAUCAGCCACACUGGCACUGCGACACGGGCCAGACUCCUACGGGAGGCAGCAGUAAGGAAUAUUGCGCAAUGGGCGACAGCCUGACGCAGCGACGCCGCGUGGGGGAUGAAGGUCUUCGGAUUGUAAACCCCUUUCGGCAGGGAAGAUGGAAUGGGUAACCAUUCGGACGGUACCUGCAGAAGCAGCCACGGCUAACUUCGUGCCAGCAGCCGCGGUAAUACGAAGGUGGCAAGCGUUGUUCGGAUUUACUGGGCGUACAGGGAGCGUAGGCGGUUGGGUAAGCCCUCCGUGAAAUCUCCGGGCCUAACCCGGAAAGUGCGGAGGGGACUGCUCGGCUAGAGGAUGGGAGAGGAGCGCGGAAUUCCCGGUGUAGCGGUGAAAUGCGUAGAGAUCGGGAGGAAGGCCGGUGGCGAAGGCGGCGCUCUGGAACAUUUCUGACGCUGAGGCUCGAAAGCGUGGGGAGCAAACAGGAUUAGAUACCCUGGUAGUCCACGCCU
This 800-nucleotide ribosomal RNA is filed under the name uncultured bacterium. Its description in RNAcentral is "bacterial SSU rRNA". It matches the Rfam family "Bacterial small subunit ribosomal RNA", at positions 8 to 802 of the family's 1533-position model. The record is from RNAcentral.